GUCGUAUUGCCAUAGAUUGACAUGAAAAUUACUGUGCUUCUUCCUAUUACUACUCCCUGAUAUUUCUUAACAUUUAAAUCUCCAUAUCAAUGCAAAGAAAGAAUAUCUUAAAUUAAUUCUAAGAAAGAAUAUCUUAAAUUAAGAAUAACUUGAAAUAGGGGCCAAGAAAAAGAGAGGGUAUAUGUGCAUGUAUGGCCGGGGUUUCUGCACAAUAUUAACAACAGGAGUUUCAGUAUGAAAGUGUACAAUGCAUGGACUCC
RNAcentral lists this long non-coding RNA (260 nucleotides) under Elaeis guineensis (African oil palm). Its description in RNAcentral is "long non-coding RNA (EGUI_LNC073152)". The record is from RNAcentral. Lineage: Eukaryota; Viridiplantae; Streptophyta; Magnoliopsida; Arecales; Arecaceae.